Molecule: ribosomal RNA, 486 nt
Filed under: Triticum aestivum (bread wheat)
Lineage: Eukaryota; Viridiplantae; Streptophyta; Magnoliopsida; Poales; Poaceae
Description: partial small subunit ribosomal RNA
Source: RNAcentral
AUGGCAGUACGCGAGCUGUUGGAUCUUCAAGGGCGGUUGAGAGCAUUUGUGAUCUUUUUGUCUGAAUCUCAUAUGGACAAAGUUAAGAACCAGCUUGGGACCGGCAUCAUUUGUCUUGGUGAUGUCUUCCGGAGCUUAAGGGAGAUGCCACAGGUCAAGAAGGCAUUUUUUGAUAUUGGCGAUCUGAAGGCCCCAGGACUGGAUGCCUUGCACGUGAUAUUUUAUAAGAGGUUUUGGCCCAUGCUUGGAGAAGAUCUUGUUGAUGAAGUGUUGAAGGCCGUCAAUUUAGGUACAUUCCCACCGGGGUGGAAUGACAGUGCUAUAGUCCCAAAAAUAAAUUCUCCCGAGAAAGUGACUCAGUUCGGGCCAAUUAGUCUAUGCAAUGUUAUUUACAAGGUAAUCUCAAAGAUGCUAGCAACAAGGUUGAAAUUUUUUUUACCAGACAUUAUUAGCCCAACGCAGAGUGCUUUUGUUCCUGGCGUCUGA